UCAAGAUUUCUCAGAAAAGCCAGUCUAACCCUGAGGAACGCAUCAUCAUGGUUCUUUCCCUUGAGAUUCUGAGCAUCAGAGAGCAUUCCCAUUGGUUCAGAAAAUGGUUUUCAUCAUCAAGUAUAAGGCAUUCUCUAGGCCGAUUGGAAGAUAAGCCAUCAAAACAAAACCCCCUGAAAACGUAACCCUGCAGCUGCAAGCCCCAACAUCAGCCUUCCUCCUCCGUUUCUCAAGGGUAUGCCUGGAGAACAAAGCACUGGUGACUACAGGGCUACGCAAGGAAGAGGAGAAGAGGAGCUAGGAAACUGCUGUGGGAGC
Nyctereutes procyonoides (raccoon dog) is the source of this 318-nucleotide long non-coding RNA. RefSeq lists it as uncharacterized. The transcript has 3 exons. The record is from RefSeq and is a predicted model, not a curated record. NCBI's taxonomy places the organism in Eukaryota, Metazoa, Chordata, Mammalia, Carnivora, Canidae.